UGAGACAGGUGCUGCAUGGCUGUCGUCAGCUCGUGUUGUGAAAUGUUGGGUUAAGUCCCGCAACGAGCGCAACCCUUAUCCUUUGUUGCCAGCGGUCCGGCCGGGAACUCAAAGGAGACUGCCAGUGAUAAACUGGAGGAAGGUGGGGAUGACGUCAAGUCAUCAUGGCCCUUACGAGUAGGGCUACACACGUGCUACAAUGGCAUAU
RNAcentral lists this ribosomal RNA (208 nucleotides) under Citrobacter freundii. RNAcentral's name for it is "partial 16S ribosomal RNA". It matches the Rfam family "Bacterial small subunit ribosomal RNA", at positions 1030 to 1238 of the family's 1533-position model. Lineage: Bacteria; Pseudomonadati; Pseudomonadota; Gammaproteobacteria; Enterobacterales; Enterobacteriaceae. The record is from RNAcentral.